This 337-nucleotide long non-coding RNA is filed under the name Homo sapiens (human). Its description in RNAcentral is "non-protein coding lnc-NEK2-2:1". The record is from RNAcentral. Lineage: Eukaryota; Metazoa; Chordata; Mammalia; Primates; Hominidae.
GGUAAUGGGGGCUCUGGUGAACGCCAUCUUCCUGACUGGCCUCUGUUUCGCCAUCCUGCUGGAGGCCAUCGAGCGCUUCAUCGAGCCGCACGAGAUGCAGCAGCCGCUGGUGGUCCUUGGGGUCGGCGUGGCCGGGCUGCUGGUCAACGUGCUGGGGCUCUGCCUCUUCCACCAUCACAGCGGCUUCAGCCAGGACUCCGGCCACGGCCACUCGCACGGGGGUCACGGCCACGGCCACGGCCUCCCCAAGGGGCCUCGCGUUAAGAGCACCCGCCCCGGGAGCAGCGACAUCAACGUGGCCCCGGGCGAGCAGGGUCCCGACCAGGAGGAGACCAAC